Molecule: ribosomal RNA, 305 nt
Filed under: uncultured bacterium
Lineage: Bacteria
Description: bacterial SSU rRNA
Rfam family: Bacterial small subunit ribosomal RNA
Source: RNAcentral
UGCCUACGGGAGGCAGCAGUGGGGAAUAUUGGGCAAUGGGCGCAAGCCUGACCCAGCAACGCCGCGUGAAGGAAGAAGGCUUUCGGGUUGUAAACUUCUUUUCUCAGGGACGAAGAAAGUGACGGUACCUGAGGAAUAAGCCACGGCUAACUCCGUGCCAGCAGCCGCGGUAAUACGGAGGAUGCGAGCGUUAUCCGGAUUUAUUGGGUUUAAAGGGUGCGUAGGCGGACAGUCAAGUCAGCGGUAAAAAUGCGGUGCUCAACGCCGUACAGCCGUUGAAACUGGCAGUCUUGAGUGGGCGAGAA